CUGUAGCUUUAGUGACAGGCAGGAUUAAUGGCACAGAUUAUCCGUGACUGGUGGCUAAAAAGGUGAAAGAAAGGCUGAGUGCAUCUAAUGGGCUGGGUCACUGCUACAGGAAGCAGUACAUGGCUAUGUAAAAAAGCUGGAUGUGACAUGACUACAUCAUCUCCCACUUUCUUCCUUGGGCUGUUUUGCCCUUUCCAGUCAGGUCUAGCGUAUCCUACUCAAUAGCCCUAUUGAUUUUUUUUUUUAUUAUUUUUUUCUUUUCUGGUGUAAUAACUUGCACAGUAAGGCACAACGCAGCCUGAACAGGGGUCUGUGUGACCUGAGUAGGGCAUCACACACAGCCCUGCCUGUGAAUGGAGAACGUGUGCAGUGGGCUGAGUGGUGAUGGCAAGUGGUGAGGCAGGGGGAGAAGGGACACUAGGGAAAUGGAAGACUGGAGAAAGGAAAUCGAAGAAAGAUGUGUGUGUCAGCUGAACUGCUGAAGCCAAACCAAGCACUAAGCUGGGCAAUGGGCCAGCACAUGGCUUAUCCAUGCCUCCGUGUCAGUAUUAGAGUAUUUUUGCAGAGAAAAGACCAAACUGUCAGGUGAAACUUCAUGUUAUCGGAGAUGAAGUUAGGCAAAGCACCAUAAUGCUGGAGAGUUCUGCAAAUUGUCCAGCAGCAAUUUCCGCUGCUGUGCAGGAUUAUUGAGGUAUCAUCUGGCCCAAUGGCUCAGUAAUGAGUAGAAGAGCUUUCAGUGGUGAAGAAGGACUUUGAACACCUUUCCUGUCCCCAUGAAAGAUGGACCAGUCUCAGAGGGGAGAGUGGGUGGGAGCUGCUCACGGUGUGUGGUCAUACCCUGACUGUGAGGACAGGUUACCCAGCACCCAUCAUUGCAACUUGAUUUCCCACAUCAGAAGAAUGAUGAACUUUCCUGUUUCGAUCUAUGCAGACUUGUCCUUCCUAAGUGCAUGCUGAGUGUGGGCUUAUUUCAUGUUUCUGCCUGGGACCCCAGAAUUUACCUAAUAUCUGCCAGUCCCCCUUAUCCUACUUUUUCCCUUCUGCCUCUUAAGCUCCUUUCCUGGCCUCCUAUCAGUCACCUGGUUGAGUGACAAGGACUCAAUUGCUAGUGCUAGGGAUUACCAAACAUCCUCUGUAAUACAGGCUUCACUGCACAGCUUCAGUCAAAUCUUGCCGAAAGCUAAUGCGAUAGUCUUCUCCUGGAAAUAACCAAUGGCUGGACGUUCAGAGAAGUGCCCGUUGCAGAUAAGCUACAGAGUGCCCAGGCUUGCUUGCUAUGAAUGUGGGUGGGUUGCAGAUUGAAGCCUGCCCAGCUGUUCCAGGACUGUUGCAGCUCCAGAUGGGCCAAAACCACCAAACUGCAGCGUUGCACAGCCUUGUCCUGCUGCUAGUGCCUGGACAGCCCCUGGCAGCACACAGCUCCCUUGCCCUGCAUCCAUAUUGCCAUGUUCCCAGUUCUUCCUGCUGUGCUGAGACCAACUCCAGCUUAGAGAGGUUACUCAAGAGAAUUUCACAGUCAGACAAGUAGAAAAGAGCUGUGCUGAAAAAGGAGUCCUUUCUAAGUUCAAACCCCCCUGAGCCUGAGGCCGAGUGCUACACCGAAAUGUUCAAUCCCGCAUUUGAAUAAGCUGAAUAAAUCCAGCCAUACUGCUAAACAUAUGCAGGAACAUUUUUUACAUUAAUGAACAUUGCCCUGCAGGAUUUGCAAUCCAGAUGUUACCGCUUUAUGUUAAUGAAAAAGGACCCUGAAGUAAAUUGACUAUAAGGCCUCCCUCCAUUUCAAGAGGGCUAACUUUGGCUUCUGUUCACCCAUCCUACCUGGUUGCACAAGGAAGCAAAUACGGCAGUUUGAGUCAGGACAGAGCAGGAAUUAUGGUGAUGGGUGACUCGAUAAAGAGGUAAAAGUUGCAAAUUCAGUAAAGGACCAAAGAAAGUUCCUGACUCAGGAAGGGUCAGGUCUAAAGGCACGUUAAGGCACUUGAGCUAAUUUCGGAUGUGUGGGCAAAUCACCCUCAUGGGUUGGCAGGUGGAAGAUGGACCCCUCAUAGAGACCAUCAGCCCUCCAGGAGGAACGAGGAGAGGCUGAAGCUUCAAGUACUCGAAUGUAUUAAGCUGAGACUGAGGAUGUUGCUACUUGGGGGAGUCAGAUUUUGGCUGUGGGGAGCACAGCUGACAGUUCAGUGCUGCUGUCUCACGGCACUGGGAGCAGCAAGGAGGUCAUGACUAAGGACCUGCUUCAUGGAGCAAUGCAAGAUGGAUUAAGCAGGGGAAGGACUGGUCAACUGUAAGAGCUCAUGGUGCUAGAAAUGAAAGAGAAAAUCAUAACUGCAAAUAACAGGUGAAAGCAGUUGAAAUUAAUUAGGACUGUAGCAUGAGGUGAAGUUGCAGAAAGCUGCAUACCAUGCUGUACAUAACUACUUGCUGAUUAUCACAAUCUCUUUGUUUUGUCCACAAUUCCUCGAGGCAAACUGUAGCCCCUUCGCUUGAGGAGUCAGAGGAACAAUCAGGUUUUGGCCUCGGAGAGAAAUCCUUGUCAACUUGAACAAGUAAAACAUCCAUGCUGCUUAUUCUAUGUUUUUCAUAUGCUUAUUGGCUGUUAGUUUAGCAUUUUACAAGUGAGGCCAAGAAGAGACGAUAUUAUUUUCUCUUUUCACAUUUUUUUCUAUGAAUUUAUUCUUCAUGUCCUUGCUGCAACUAAGUUUCCCCCCUAUUGUUCUUGGUAUUGGCAUUAUACAUAGAUAAAACAAUUUAAGAGUGUAUUUUUCCUAGUUAGGCAGAGCAGAGAUAUGAUAUACCAUAGGCACAUGUGUCAACAUGAUGCGCCUGCCUGUCUUUAUUUUCUCAGUUUGCUUGUGGUCCAUUUAAAAUUAGAUUACAACUGAUUGGUUCCUGCAUUCAAACUACUUUGCACGACACUCCAUCCACAGGCGUAUAAAACAAAACUGAGGUGACUGGAAAGCCUAAGGGAUCAAUUCCAAAUAUCACUGUGUAAUAAAAACUGUAUUUCCUUAAUUUUUUAUUGAUUCAGCUCUCAUUCUCCUGUAAUGCUGCUGCGGUAAUAUUAAAACUCAGUGACUGACAGUGCCGUCCCAUAGAAGUGAUUUAAAUAGCAGUACCAGGGAAGAAAGCAGGCUUUGCUUUUGCAACAAUUUUGCUCAAACUGGCCCUGAGGAUCUCCCUUGCAGGGAGGGAAUAGGCUGUGCACCUUUUCCACUUUGAAAUACAUCAUCUGUAUUUCUUCCAGCCCCGUGCUAUGCCUGUGAAGCCAGCAGGAUGCCUGCUGUUGGCACGGCUGCGUGCAGCCUGCAGGCUUUAAAAGCAAGUAUGAAUAUUUGGGUUGUAGAUGGGAACGGGUUAUUUGUGUAGGGUACAGAACUGAUGCUUGUUCAGAUGCAAACCCCAGACUAUUCUUCAUGUGAUCCACGAUACAAAACAAAGGAAAAGAGCAUUCCUGUGAAAGGGAAGGAAUUCAGCUAAUUAAUAGUCACAAAAUGUGUGCUGCUUACAGGUGGGAAUUUCAAAGGACCUUAUGAGGUUUGGAUUCACAGAGCCAGUCAGUGAAGUGGGAGCUGGGCAUGGGAGUCGCUCAAAGUGCCCAGAAGUCCUUGCCUGCCCAUGGAAAAUGGGAUGGAGAUUUUGUUACAUGCUGUGAACCUCCAGAGUCUGCAACACUGUGCUGAUGAGAGGCGUUUCUCAGUCUCUGCUGCCCAUGAGGCAUUUGGCUGGGGAAGCAGGGUAUUCACAGCACUCUGGCAUGGGUUUCUGCUCCCUGUGGGCAUGCACAAAUAAAGGAGAAUGCUAAAAAUGAAAUAAAACUUGAAAGUAGAUAUAUGGGAGCUCCAGAGGCUGCUGGAUAGUAACUGGUUUCUCUGUCAAGACAGGUUAAUCUGUUCUCAUAAGCAUCCCAGAACCAUAAAAAAGCCACGGCCCAGAGUCUGUUUCUGGACUGGGGAAAUCUUAAUGGAAACAGUCUCCUGCAGGAGUUCCCCAAGGUCUGGCAGAGACAAUAUUUUAUGUUGGGGUAGGUAUAAAUCUCCAAGAUGUUUGUGAUCCAAAACUUGGAAACAAAAGCCAGGGAAAGUUUGAUCAAAAUUGUCCCAGUUGAGAUGUGCUAACCAGAAUGAUUCACAGAAACUAAACUGUGCUUAAUGGGUACGUCUGGAGUGACCCAAAACUGUUCAGUGGCAAUUUGUGGAAGAGGACAGUGGCGGAGCCUUGGCAGAGGCUGGGUGCUAGGAGCAAAGCUGAAGGCCUUCUCCCUUGGCUCAGCCUGAUUUAAAAAGCAAAUCAAACCCACCCCUGAAAAAAACAAGCAUCUGCGGUCUCGUCCAAAACGAGCAUCUCUGCACCCAAGAGGGGAAGUGACACCCACUUUGACACUAAGUGGCCGUUUCAUUUGCUCUGCAAACUCUGUGCUUGCAGUUGAUAUCAGAUACUAAUUAAAAGAGUGAAAAAAAGGUGGCUCAGCCCUCGGCUGAGUGGCAUGGACAGCCCCUUGAGCUGCAGAGGCACAUGAGCAUCUUUGCUUCUAUGCAGGGUGGGUGGGAGCUAGCAGCGCUGCUAGCUCAGCCAGGAGCAGCAGGUGGAGGGGAGCAGAGCCCACGCCACCCUCUGUCACACCAGGGAAGUCUCUCACCCUGGGCCCAGCAAGGGAUGAGUGCCCCGUCCCAUCAUCGCUUCCUAAAGCGGAGGGCUGGUUUCUCUGAACUUGUUUUCUGUUGACUGAAGUCAGGCAGUGGUAUUGUUCAGGUGCGAUACUGAAUGAAUAUUGAGUGUGCCUCUAAAAUAAAGUCAUUAUUUAGGAGCUCAUUAAAGUACCGGCCUUGAAAAAAUUUCCUACUGCUAAUAUCCUCUUCCAUCACUGUGUCAGGGAUGAGAGCUGGUUUAGAGAAAGGGCUGUGUGCUCCACAGCCGCCUCCCUCCUCUUACCUGGGGGGCUGCUGGCACCAGGGCUGGGAUAAAACUUUUUUAAGCCUAGAGCUAAGAAAGCACCAGGUGUUAACACGAGCUGUAAAUUGCUAAGUAACUCUGGCAAAGUCCCUCAGCACCCUCAUUUCCAGAAAAGACCCUGAGGCUAUUUUCUCUCUGCUCCUUCCUUUAGCUAGCUGGGGUAUUGCUCCCUGCUGUGAAAGCACGCUUCUCCCUCUUGGUUUCCCAUCCCGCUUUCCCCUUUCUCUCCUCAUGCUCCUGAGGUUCACCUCUUGCUGUGCCUGCAGGAUUUGCAAUGGGAAGGAAGAGAGCAGCCAUUGCUGUUCCCACCCUUUGCCAUCCCAUGUGCUGGGAGGCGGCUGGAGCCCCAGGAGACACUGUGGACCCCUGUCCCAUGGGGACACCUCUGAGCUUGCAGCUUGGGGAGCGGCAUGGGGCUGCCCACUUUCAGUUGCUUGAAGACCAGUGGGCUAAGUGCGAUCCUGGUGAGCGGAAGGACGUAUGUGAACUCGUACACAAGUGGAAAAUGGGCAACGUUGAUGUGACUGACCUUCAGCAUUGAAGCCUGAUCAUUCCUGUCAUUUGAGAUGGCUGUGCAGGAAGAAAAGGUCAGUGGUGCACCUCUAAGCUGGAGAUGGUGAGAAAUCAGCUUUCUGCACAGCUUGCUUGGGCAAAUCCCCACCCGUGUGCAGAGGAGUGUGGCAUAUUUAUGUCUUGGACUUUUGGUGGUACUGGCAUGAGGUCCCAAAGGGGAAGGCAACUAGGUAAAGGAGUGGCUGUGGUGGAGUACGAACAUAGAUCAUUCAUUUAGAAAACAUCCUUUCCUAAUGGUAAUUUCUGGCUAAAAAGCAGACAAGGCCUAUGAACAGUAUCUUCCUUUUAUGUUCCUCCACACAGGCAAUGUGGAAAAAAAGGAGACUUAAACCUGCAUUGUCUACCUUACCCACAAUGCUCAUUGCCUCCAAUGGGAGUUUUGCUCAGGAAAUGCAAAACAGAGCUGGCAACUAUAUUUCCAUUUAUUCAAUAGUUCUGAGAUUGAAAACGAUAGACACUGGGCAAAAGAAAUAACAGGGGCAUCUCAUAUCCAUGUGUCGCUUCAUUAAACAUCUGAAAAUGGCAAUGAAAAAGCAGAGAUUGCAGAAUGAGAUUUCCAGACAGCAGGAUGAUAACAUAAAAGACUCUGUCCUCUGUUUGUACAAUACAUAUGUGGUCAGAAAAAUAAAGGCAGCAAACUAUCUUACUAUAUAAUAGACAAGGAUUUUCAAGGCUGUUAUUUUGGAUGCACGGGAAGUAGAAAACUGCUUUACACAAGAGUGUCACUUGUUAACUUUGGAUAUGUGAUAUGUGAAUGUAUAACUGAGAUAAAAAAUCAUGUGGUUUCAUC
This is a long non-coding RNA of Harpia harpyja (harpy eagle), 6313 nucleotides long. RefSeq lists it as uncharacterized. NCBI's taxonomy places the organism in Eukaryota, Metazoa, Chordata, Aves, Accipitriformes, Accipitridae. The record is from RefSeq and is a predicted model, not a curated record. The transcript is spliced from 6 exons.